Molecule: small nuclear RNA, 127 nt
Organism: Balaenoptera musculus (blue whale)
Lineage: Eukaryota; Metazoa; Chordata; Mammalia; Artiodactyla; Balaenopteridae
Gene: U4
Rfam family: U4 spliceosomal RNA
About the family: U4 small nuclear RNA (U4 snRNA) is a component of the major U2-dependent spliceosome. The structure of U4 snRNA from yeast and human has been reported.
Source: Ensembl
GCUUUUGCGCAGUGGCAGUAUCAUAGCCAAUGAGGUUUAUCCGAGGCACAAUUAUUGCUAAUUGAAAAAAGUAUUCCCCAGAUUUUUAGGAAUAGAUUUUGUGAAUUUUUAGUAAAUGAUUCUUAAG